AGCGAACGCUGGCGGCAGGCCUAAUACAUGCAAGUCGAGCGCCCCUUCGGGGGAGCGGCGGACGGGUGAGUAACGCGUGGGAACGUGCCCUUUGGUACGGAACAACUGAGGGAAACUUCAGCUAAUACCGUAUGUGCCCUUCGGGGGAAAGAUUUAUCGCCAUUGGAGCGGCCCGCGUUGGAUUAGGUAGUUGGUGGGGUAAAGGCCCACCAAGCCUACGAUACAUAGCUGGUCUGAGAGGAUGAUCAGCCACACUGGGACUGAGACACGGCCCAGACUCCUACGGGAGGCAGCAGUAGGGAAUCUUGCGCAAUGGGCGAAAGCCUGACGCAGCCAUGCCGCGUGUAUGAUGAAGGUCUUAGGAUUGUAAAAUACUUUCACCGGGGAAGAUAAUGACGGUACCCGGAGAAGAAGCCCCGGCUAACUUCGUGCCAGCCGCCGCCGUAA
RNAcentral lists this ribosomal RNA (447 nucleotides) under uncultured bacterium. Its description in RNAcentral is "partial 16S ribosomal RNA". It matches the Rfam family "Bacterial small subunit ribosomal RNA", at positions 29 to 523 of the family's 1533-position model. The record is from RNAcentral.